RNAcentral lists this unclassified non-coding RNA (20 nucleotides) under Mus musculus (house mouse). Its description in RNAcentral is "oocyte_clustered_small_RNA8253". Lineage: Eukaryota; Metazoa; Chordata; Mammalia; Rodentia; Muridae. The record is from RNAcentral.
CGAAGCUACCAUGCCCACAG